UACAGAGGUCUCAAGCGUUGUUCGGAAUUACUGGGCGUAAAGGGCUCGUAGGUGGCCAAUUAAGUCAGACGUGAAAUCCCUCAGCUUAACUGGGGAACUGCGUCUGAGACUGGUGGGCUUGAGUGCAGGAGAGGAACGCGGAAUUCCAGGUGUAGCGGUGAAAUGCGUAGAUAUCUGGAGGAACACCGGUGGCGAAGGCGGCGUUCUGGACUGCAACUGACACUGAGGAACGAAAGCCAGGGGAGCAAACGGG
RNAcentral lists this ribosomal RNA (253 nucleotides) under uncultured bacterium. RNAcentral's name for it is "partial 16S ribosomal RNA". It matches the Rfam family "Bacterial small subunit ribosomal RNA", at positions 524 to 776 of the family's 1533-position model. The record is from RNAcentral.